Molecule: ribosomal RNA, 262 nt
Filed under: Salmonella enterica subsp. enterica serovar Lubbock
Lineage: Bacteria; Pseudomonadati; Pseudomonadota; Gammaproteobacteria; Enterobacterales; Enterobacteriaceae
Description: partial 23S ribosomal RNA
Rfam family: Bacterial large subunit ribosomal RNA
Source: RNAcentral
CCAGACAGCCAGGAUGUUGGCUUAGAAGCAGCCAUCAUUUAAAGAAAGCGUAAUAGCUCACUGGUCGAGUCGGCCUGCGCGGAAGAUGUAACGGGGCUAAACCAUGCACCGAAGCUGCGGCAGCGACGCUGAUGCGUUGUUGGGUAGGGGAGCGUUCUGUAAGCCUGUGAAGGUGUGCUGUGAGGGUUGCUGGAGGUAUCAGAAGUGCGAAUGCUGACAUAAGUAACGAUAAAGCGGGUGAAAAGCCCGCUCGCCGGAAGAC